Molecule: ribosomal RNA, 427 nt
Filed under: uncultured bacterium
Lineage: Bacteria
Description: partial 16S ribosomal RNA
Rfam family: Bacterial small subunit ribosomal RNA
Source: RNAcentral
UGGGGAAUAUUGGACAAUGGGCGAAAGCCUGAUCCAGCCAUGCCGCGUGUGUGAAGAAGGUCUUCGGAUUGUAAAGCACUUUAAGUUGGGAGGAAGGGCAUUAACCUAAUACGUUAGUGUUUUGACGUUACCGACAGAAUAAGCACCGGCUAACUCUGUGCCAGCAGCCGCGGUAAUACAGAGGGUGCAAGCGUUAAUCGGAAUUACUGGGCGUAAAGCGCGCGUAGGUGGUUUGUUAAGUUGGAUGUGAAAUCCCCGGGCUCAACCUGGGAACUGCAUUCAAAAGUGACUGACUAGAGUAUGGUAGAGGGUGGUGGAAUUUCCUGUGUAGCGGUGAAAUGCGUAGAUAUAGGAAGGAACACCAGUGGCGAAGGCGACCACCUGGACUAAUACUGACACUGAGGUGCGAAAGCGUGGGGAGCAAACA